This 220-nucleotide ribosomal RNA is filed under the name uncultured bacterium. RNAcentral describes it as "partial 16S ribosomal RNA". It matches the Rfam family "Bacterial small subunit ribosomal RNA", at positions 57 to 305 of the family's 1533-position model. The record is from RNAcentral.
GCAAGUCGAACGAGACCUUCGGGUCUAGUGGCGCACGGGUGCGUAACGCGUGGGAACCUGCCCAAAGGUGCGGAAUAACUCAGGGAAACUUGAGCUAAUACCGCAUGAUGCCGAAAGGCCAAAGAUUUAUCGCCUUUGGAUGGGCCCGCGUCGGAUUAGCUUGUGGGUGGGGUAAGGGAGCACAAAGGCGACGAUCCGUAGCUGGUUUGAGAGGAUGAUC